This is a long non-coding RNA of Choloepus didactylus (southern two-toed sloth), 2414 nucleotides long. RefSeq lists it as uncharacterized. Lineage: Eukaryota; Metazoa; Chordata; Mammalia; Pilosa; Megalonychidae. The transcript is spliced from 3 exons. The record is from RefSeq and is a predicted model, not a curated record.
CAUAGUGUGAGAUGAACACCAAUAAUCAAGUUUUUAAGUAACUCUAACCAGUGUGAUUUUUCCCUGUCACCUUUCAAAAUACUUCAUUUUCCUCUGUCCUUCAGAAGAUCAUAUAAUAUCCCACAAUUCAGACUCUGAAAACUUACUCGUCUAUUUCCUAUUCUUACAAGACAAACAGAGAUUCCUGCAUUUCCAAAGAAGAUCUCAAGAUUUGGUCUACUGUGGAAUAAGUCUCCAGUGAAUAAUUGAGGGGGAUGUAGUGAAAUGUCCAACUCUAAUGGGUUUUUCCUUCAUUCUGUGGGCCUGUUCAAACUGAAGACAUCCAUGUUCUCUAAAGAAGAAAUAAGUUCAUAGCCCCAGGAAUUUGAACACCCAGUUAUAGAUACAAAGCUGCACAAAGAUGUGGUUACUAUACUAAAGGAACUCGUGAAUUUAACCAGAAAAUUGGAAUCCAUACCAUGCACGAGCGUCAUCAAGGAAGUAAGCCCACACAAUGAAAAUGGGGCCCUGGAGAGUGACUCGUAGUCCGAUAAGGAAGCUCAGGAAGCUUCCAGGAAGACAAAGCCUCAGCUAAGUCCUGAUAGCUGUAUGGAAGUUAAAAAAAGAAAGGUGAGAAUGGCUAUCCAGGCAGCAUGAAAGGACUUAGCUCCAAAGUUUGGAAAAGUAAGUUGUGCUUUGUAUUUCUAGAGCUUCCAAAAGGAAGAGAAAUAUUAUUCAAAGACCUUCCAAGCAAUGCUAAGGAGCAAGGAAUUUUUCCUAAAGAAAACGUGAAAUUACUGAAGUGUUUCCAGACGGAAAGAGCCCAUUGCUUUAUAGAACCAGACCUGGUAGGCUGAAAAAAAUUGUUUAAGGAAAUUAAGCCUCAAAAGAAUAAAGUAAGAGAAUUAAAAUAAUCAAGCCCUAAAAUAAAUGCUGUCCUAGGGAGCAGGUAAAGUCCAGCAAAGUGACAGUGAUCUCCGUACAUAUGACAUAAAGAACAUCUUCCAAGCCCCAGAGAGAGAGAGGAUGCCAAAAGCUGGAUAGAAAGCUAAGUGGACUAGGGUCAGUAGCACAGCAUGGAAAUGCAGGAGUGUGACAGAUGCAUAUCCUUACAAAGAGAGAAGCUGCAGCCCAUUUUGCACAUUGACCACUUCAGUCAGACUCAAUGUGGGAACAGUCAGGAACCAACAGGUAGACAUUAAAGACCAGGCUCCAGACCCAAUAAAGGAUGGGGAAAAGAACUAGGGAAACCAGAGAUUUUGAAACUAUACAGCCCCUACUCUAAGCCCCAGAACAAUGCACCCUUUCCAGACCGUGUGACACCAUACAACAACCUGACCCAACUCAGCUAUCCUCAUAAAUGAGGAAGACUUUCUUAGAACUUCUAAUGCGGCAGUUCUCAAUCCAUUUUCCACAAACCACAAAUCAUGAUUAUAACCCCUCAGUGUCGCAUACUGAGGCAGCUUCAGCUGCCCUAGACCAGCUCCUCGGGGUUUACUGUGUCCUCCCUGUUUCUGCAUCAGUUGCAAAGAAAAUCAAAGCAAAAAGAAACAACUCCAAUGAAAAAGAACAAGCAUGAAGAAGCAGGUACUACACCUCACCCACCACAAGUAAAGCUCUGGAAUCUGAAAGAGCAGGGGAGACUGCUGUAGGUCAGGUAAGUUUGAGGAAGAGGAGCAGAUUGAAAUCCACAGAAGGAACUUCUUCUGUGGUUCUUCCACUUACUCUUCCCCUUCAGGCACUUGGCUUUUCACUAAUAUUGCAAAACAGUUCAGAUUUACUUUUCUCAGUGCCUGGCACAUCAUAAGAGAUCACUAUGCAGUAAGUACUAUUGUUCUUAGCGAGGUCAAGACAUUGGAAAGGGUUCUAAUGAUAGAUGCACAUACUCACAAGUGUAAGAGAGCUAAUGAGUUCUACACAACUGAAACUUUGGUAGGUAUGGAAGAGUAUGGGAAGGUGAGGCCAGAGUAUAGAAAGAAAAAAAGGCCACAUAGCAUAGCCUUUUGCCAGAAAUAUAAAAUGGAAACUUCAUUGUGAAAAAUAAAAAAAAAACUGAAAAAUUUUAUGGAGAAGCAUGCUUGAUAACUUUUGUAUUUCUGCCAAAAAAAAAAAUAUUCUGGCAAUUAUUUGUAAGGAUGCAUUAGAGAUAAAUAAGGUUUUGAGGAAGAAAUAGCAAUUCGAAACAUUGGUGUGCUGGGGUGCAAUCCAAGAUAUCCUGCAAGUUCUUUGUAAAAGAUUCACUAAGUAACCUUGCAUUUCGUUGGCUACAACUAACUAUUGUCAACUAUGAUGAGCAAAGACAGUACAGGGUCUAGACCAAUAUGCACAUACUAAUUAUUUUAUCUCUGUGAGCUGUACCCCAACUGUAUAAAUCAUGUUUGUCUUAAAUUUGGAUAAAUGUAUUUUGAAUGAUGGAUUGUCCCACCAAGCUUGAA